AUGAACGCUGGCGGCGUGCUUAACACAUGCAAGUCGAGCGAAGCACUAAAGCGGAUUUCUUCGGAUUGAAGGUUUAGUGACUGAGCGGCGGACGGGUGAGUAACGCGUGGGUAACCUGCCUCAUACAGGGGGAUAACAGUUGGAAACGGCUGCUAAUACCGCAUAAGCGCACAGUACCGCAUGGUACGGUGUGAAAAACUCCGGUGGUAUGAGAUGGACCCGCGUCUGAUUAGGUAGUUGGUGGGGUAACGGCCUACCAAGCCGACGAUCAGUAGCCGACCUGAGAGGGUGACCGGCCACAUUGGGACUGAGACACGGCCCAAACUCCUACGGGAGGCAGCAGUGGGGAAUAUUGCACAAUGGGGGAAACCCUGAUGCAGCGACGCCGCGUGAGCGAAGAAGUAUUUCGGUAUGUAAAG
This 419-nucleotide ribosomal RNA is filed under the name uncultured bacterium. RNAcentral's name for it is "bacterial SSU rRNA". It matches the Rfam family "Bacterial small subunit ribosomal RNA", at positions 29 to 430 of the family's 1533-position model. The record is from RNAcentral.